UAAAAUUUCAGGGUUAAACAUCUGGGAGUUGAUUUUAACUCCCAACGUGUAAAUUUAACACAUUUGGAUUUAAAUCGUGUCCAGAGUCAGAGUUAUUUCACAGAGUUGAUCAGAUCAGUGUUAGUUUAACUCUGCAAAGACGUCAUUAAGCUCCGCCUUUUCUCCUGCACUUCACUUCUUCAGUUUGCGCCACUUCUUCAGUCAGUACUAUUUUCCUCCUCUCGCAUGUCAAACACGGUAAGUGAAAUUUAGUUAAAACUUACUAAAACAAUUAUGAAUUGAUGAUGUGAACUGCAGUAUGUACAUUAACAUUUAUCGAAUUUAUACUCUUCAAAGCCUUGUUUGUUGCCAGGACUGAACGUGUGGUGAGCUAGCAAGAUAAUGUUAGCUUAAUUAGCUAACUGCUAGCUACUAAAAUUGCAAUUAUCAAUGACAAGUUAACAACAAGCUGCUGUUAUUUUUUUACUGUUUAAAGUCUAGUUUGAGGCUGGAGCGAACGGUCCGGUUUUAUUGUUUUUUCGUGGUUGACCACGAAAGGUGCAGCUAAAAACAUGUCCUAACAUGUAGAUGUCUACAGCGCUAAAAGCUAAACGCGGCUAAUGCUAAACGUUAGCUUAAUUAGCUAGCUCGGCGGCUAACUCGGUAGACGGGAUCGUGCCUAUUUAGGACAUGUUUUUAGCAGCGCUAAAAACUAAGCGCUGUUUAUGCUAAAGCGCUGUUUCUCCUGUCUUGUCUGUGUGACCGGGACUUAUCUUUCCCUUAUUCUUGUUAAUGUUAAUUUACUUUGUGAGUUUUUUUUGCAUGUCCAAGUAAGAAGAUGCUGGUACAGGUAAAGCACCACUGACAGCAGAAGUAUAUGAAGUUGGCCGAGGUAGAAGGACACUUUGACUUUCUUCAGUUCCACGAAAAUGAUAAAUUAUUUUUCUUUAGCUUAAAGACUUUGAAAAACAAGUUUAAUAUACACACAUGCUGUUUUAUAACCUCUUUCUGUUAUCCUCACAUAUCUUGAAAAAAGUAUUCACUUUUAAGGAGCUGAAAUUUCCUUUUUUCUCAAAAAAAUAUGCAAAUCGAUGUUUAUCAAUAUAGUUAAUACAUUUAAUAGUCUUAUCUUACUACUUUUUCCAGUUCUUGAGAGAUUUUGUCUGCCACCAGAUGCACAAGUCAUUUACAAGGAUGCAACAGGGACAGAAGUCGACGGAGAAAUAUUCAGCGACUUGGUUGGACAAGGCAAUGUGGUGCUGACAGUUCUCUUAAAUGAUGAGUUUUCUGACUGGUCCUUGUCUUCGGCUUCUGAGUCGGACUCAAGCUUCAGCUCAAAUGCAUCGAUUGUAAACAUGGGUGAGGUCCCAAGGAAGAGACAACGAUUUGCAGAUGCAAAUGCAGCGUCUACUUAACAGUUGAUAGAAGCUGUGCUUAGAGGCAAGUCCGGUGGUGAAGAGGUACUACAGGAGUACCGAAGAACAGAAACAUUAACAGAUGCUGCAAGAUGGCAAAUGGUGAACAUACUGGUGGCUCACAUGAUUGAUAACCAUGGGCACCUCCCCAUUAAAGCAAACAGAGAAGAGUUUGCUCUUGGUAUUGUGAUGUGUUCCCUUCCCUCAAGGAUCCAUAUUCCAAGAACGGCUAUAAGACUUCUUUGAUCCUGCAAGCAACACAGGAUACAUUUCUUGGCGUCUGAAAACAGUCCAAAGGCAGAUUCGUCGAGGGUCUGCAACGCCACCAAGUAGCUCCAUUGACUUUUCUCCAGGAGGCCCAACUUUCCAAAGGAUUGUUAAUGUUGAAGGACAGUGUGGUGGGGAGUAUAAAGCUGUACUUGUUGUAUGCUGUACAAUGGAAGAAGACAUGCCAGUCUUUUGUGAAAUAAGUGAUGUACUUUUGGUUGAUGAUCACAUUUUUCUUUCUGACAAACAAGCUAUUCACAGAGAAUUUGGAUGGCCAUCAUCAUUCACUCUGAGUAUUGUGAAGUGAGAAAAGGUGUCAUAAAAAUGUCAGUGCUUAAAUGAUAUAAACCGUUUGAUAUUCAAAGCUCAUACAAUGUUUCAGAUGAAACUUUGUACAUUAUACCUUCAUUUGUGAUGAUUUGAAUGACUGCAAGGGAGGAAAAAUAAAUGCUAGU
Long non-coding RNA from Mugil cephalus (flathead mullet), 2116 nucleotides. RefSeq lists it as uncharacterized. The record is from RefSeq and is a predicted model, not a curated record. The transcript is spliced from 5 exons. NCBI's taxonomy places the organism in Eukaryota, Metazoa, Chordata, Actinopteri, Mugiliformes, Mugilidae.